This 492-nucleotide ribosomal RNA is filed under the name uncultured bacterium. RNAcentral's name for it is "partial 16S ribosomal RNA". It matches the Rfam family "Bacterial small subunit ribosomal RNA", at positions 29 to 507 of the family's 1533-position model. The record is from RNAcentral.
AUUGAACGCUGGCGGCAUGCUUUACACAUGCAGGUCGAACGGUAACAGGCCUUCGGGUGCUGAUGAUUGGCGAACGGGUGAGUAAUGCAUCCGAACGUACCCAGCGGUGGGGGAUAACGCAGCGAAAGCUGUGCUAAUACCGCAUGUGAUCUGAGGAUGAAAGCGGGGGACCGAGCAGCAAUGUUUGGCCUCGCGCCUUUGGAGCCGCCGAUGUCGGAUUAGCUAGUUGGUGGGGUAAAGGCCUACCAAGGCGACGAUCCGUAGCCGGUCUGAGAGGGCGACCAGCCCCCCUGGGACUGGGACACGGCCCAGACUCCUGCGGGAGGGAGCAGUGGGGAAUUUUGGACAAUGGGCGCAAACCUGAUCCAGCACUGCCGAGUGCGGCAAGAAGGCCUUCGGGUUGUAAAACGCUUUUGGCAGGAACGAAACGGUGUCCGCUAAUACCGGGCGCUAAUGACGGUACCUGGAGAAUAAGCACCGGCUAACUACGUG